CUUAAAUGUAUUUUCGGAAUUUUUAAGGAUUUUCGAAGAUAAACUGAAAGCAAUCACGUAUCUUCUUGCAACAGCAAUUGCAACAGUUUCGUUUACAUCAUACAUCUACAUCAAAGAACGGGUGAAAAUCUUAAAUUUUGUAACUACGUAUAAAAGACUCAUCAAGCGGAUAAUAGAAAAACAUAUACAGUAGCUAUAAAUUGCA
Molecule: unclassified non-coding RNA, 205 nt
Filed under: Bombus terrestris (buff-tailed bumblebee)
Lineage: Eukaryota; Metazoa; Arthropoda; Insecta; Hymenoptera; Apidae
Description: misc RNA ENSBTSG00005029122.1
Source: RNAcentral